AAAGACUCAUGAAGGCUUAAAAUAAGACGUUUUUCCUUACCAUGCUUUUGAUUGUCAGCUUUUACGUAAUAUGACACAUUUCGUGAUUUUUUCCGUACCUGGGAGUUUCUAAUUCUCAUAAAACCAGCUGAGGUCAAAUAAGCCGAACCAGCUGUCCACUUCGGGUAGUUUAUUACACCAUGACCUAUUUAAAAACCAUUCAAAGAUACGAGACUUGCGUGGCUGUUUGCGCGUGUACCGGAGGGAAGGAAUGAAGAAUUGUGAGUUCAAGAAAUACUCUUCUUACUCAGUACCAUCUUUGUCGGCGCGCGCAUCGCAGCGCAAGCAUCCGCUGAGCGCACAGUCAAAAACAAGUGAAUGCGGUCCAUUUCUAAUUCUUUGAUGAGGAUUUACAAGUUCAAAGGACCAGUUCAAAGCUUCCCACUUAUUCCAAGUCAUGAAACUCGCAAAGGACACAGUAAAGAGCGGAAAGAAGAAACAUAACAAGUAGGUAUCGAGAAGACGAAGUCAUUUUCACGGUGUCUUUGAGGCAAGUAAAACCGGGAUUGCUUCCUAAUCUGAAAAUAAGAUUUUCACAAAUUGUCGCCGAUUGUCGGGGUUAAUCUGUGAUCUUCAAUAUAAAAUGAAAUUAAUCCCUAAUACUAAGAGGAUAGAUUGGUUUCACUUAAUUGUCUUAUGAUAUCAGUGACUAUAUCAAAUUAUCGAAUCUGAUUGACUCUUAACAUUGACAAAACAAAAAGAACUCUACCAGCCACGGACUUCAUCGUCGAAAAAUUAAGAUCAACUAAACUGGUGCUGGGACCAAUUGGUGAAGAAAAUUUAUGUGACAUUUUUUUUCAAGUUCAGCCUGAUAAGGUUCCUUAGAAACCAAGUAGUGAGUUCGUAAUAUACCCUUAGUUGGUGCAGACCGUGAUGCAAACAGCGACUGUUAAAAGUUGCGUACAUAACUGAAGUGAUCUCUGUCUUUAAAUCUUUCUCCCACAGUACAAAGGUAUAUUUUAUAUAUUUAUUUUCAUAUCCUCAUCCUCAACGGGUAUAUUACAAAUUCAUGACUUGCUUCCAGUUACCUUGAAAGCUCAGUUGGUUGAGCACUGCACCGGUAGCGCAGAGUUCGUGGGUGCGAAUUUUGAAUCUCUCUCCAUAUUCCCUUUCAUGAAGGAACACAAAUUGUUGUAGUCUGGUAACAGAUUAAUUAGAUUUCUAAAAGCCAGGGUAAGGCGCGCAGUGCUGCUGAUAGCUAGUGAACACCUGUUGAAUUAAAAUUGUUGCAUGAGUUGAACCACGGGCCUUAACCUGAAAUAAAUGUUUGGCCGGCUUUCAACUGCCACCCCCCAUUCCCCCAGCCCCGCCCAGCACACACAUACACUCCCGCCUAAUGAAUAAGGAAGUUUUUCAUGUAAGUAUUUACAUUUUGUCCUUUCCAACGGAAAGUAGAGGGAUAUUGGAUAGAAGUGCGAAGGGCGAUGAAGGAGAGACGCUUUGUGUUGCAUACACUUAUAUAAUCCGUAUUGUUAUGGACAGUUCAUGCACCAUACAUGAACAAGAACUCAUAUCAAUUCUGUUCAGUACAUGUCUCUUGUAUAUCGUUUCCUUUCCGCCAAAUUGUGAGUCUUUCCUUCUCCCUUCCAAGAUAGUGUAUCGUCGAUCCAAUUCAUAGGUAAAGCCAAAAACAACACCUGUUGUUUUAAAUCAGAGAUAAAGAACUUUGCAGUUUUAGGAGACGUUUCAAGGUAAAAAGAAAGAAGAAUAAUGGCUGCCAACAUGUUGAGGUUGUGGAUGCGUCCAGCUCAAAUUCUUCAUCAUCAAGGAUCAUCUUUCAUUAGGCAAGCAUCUACAUGCACAAGUACUGGUGCUAUUUUAUCCAAGCCAGAGAAGAAACGCUUUGGGUUGGUGAAAGUCACUUGCAUUGUGAUUCCAUUUUUGUACGUGGGAGGCAUGAUUUCUCGUGAAGGAGCUGCAUGGCUAGAAGAAAAUGAUAUUUUCUCACCUGAAGAUGAUGACUAGCAUCAUUACUGGACAAACAUGUGUGGAUACUUUCAGUUGUAAAUAUAUUUAAAUUGAAGUGUUCAACUUUGUAUAAUCCUUAACUAGACUCCCAGGUGCUAAGAUAAUGUGGAAACAUAGUAUGAUAGCAAGGUGAUCUUGUAAUAAUUUUACCAGAACCUAUGAAUGGUUAAUACUUGUCUUAAAUAUAAUUUAGAACACUCCCAAUAAGAAAGUGCACACUUAAAGCUGUACUUCUAUAGUAUAACUCAAUUAUAGACAAGGAACUAGCACAAGCUGUUGACGUAAUGAUGGCGCCAGCAAAGAGAAUUUACUGUACAUUUUAAUAAUCAAAAUAAAUGAGGGAUUUUCCUUUCUUUUUGUUGCAGUGUUUUCUAAAAUAAA
Molecule: long non-coding RNA, 2388 nt
Filed under: Orbicella faveolata
Lineage: Eukaryota; Metazoa; Cnidaria; Anthozoa; Scleractinia; Merulinidae
Description: uncharacterized LOC110043909
Source: RNAcentral